AGCGAACAUUGGCGGUAGGCUUAACACAUGCAAGUCGAGCGAGGCGUAAUAGUCGAGCGGCGAACGGGUGCGUAAUACAUGGGAAUCUACCCUGAAGUGGGGGAUAACGUUCAGAAAUGGACGCUAAUACCGCAUAAUCCACAUUGGGAAAGCGUUGCAGCGCUUUAGGAUGAGCCCAUGGCUGAUUAGCUAGUUGGUGAGGUAAUGGCUCACCAAGGCGACGAUCAGUAGCUGGUCUGAGAGGAUGACCAGCCACACUGGAACUGAGACACGGUCCAGACUCCUACGGGAGGCAGCAGUGGGGAAUCUUGCGCAAUGGGGGCAACCCUGACGCAGCCAUACCGCGUGAGUGAUGAAGGUCUUCGGAUUGUAAAGCUCUUUCGGCGGGGACGACGAUGACGGUACCCGCAAAAGAAGUCACGGCUAACUUCGUGCCAGCCGCCGCAGUAA
This 450-nucleotide ribosomal RNA is filed under the name uncultured bacterium. Its description in RNAcentral is "partial 16S ribosomal RNA". It matches the Rfam family "Bacterial small subunit ribosomal RNA", at positions 29 to 523 of the family's 1533-position model. The record is from RNAcentral.